Non-coding RNA from Acanthosepion pharaonis, 102 nucleotides. Lineage: Eukaryota; Metazoa; Mollusca; Cephalopoda; Sepiida; Sepiidae. The record is from the annotation of a GenBank genome assembly.
UUACGGCCACAUCAUGUUGAAACACCUGUUCCCGUAGGAUCACCGAAGUUAAGCAACGCCGAGCUGGUGAGUAUCUCGAUGGGUGACCGACUGGGAAACAUU